AUUGAAGAACAAGGACAGACUCCCA
RNAcentral lists this microRNA (25 nucleotides) under Eptesicus fuscus (big brown bat). RNAcentral describes it as "efu-miR-9218". The record is from miRBase by way of RNAcentral. Lineage: Eukaryota; Metazoa; Chordata; Mammalia; Chiroptera; Vespertilionidae.